This 460-nucleotide ribosomal RNA is filed under the name uncultured bacterium. RNAcentral's name for it is "partial 16S ribosomal RNA". It matches the Rfam family "Bacterial small subunit ribosomal RNA", at positions 338 to 795 of the family's 1533-position model. The record is from RNAcentral.
CCUACGGGUGGCAGCAGUGAGGAAUAUUGGUCAAUGGACGAGAGUCUGAACCAGCCAAGUAGCGUGAAGGAUGACUGCCCUAUGGGUUGUAAACUUCUUUUAUAUGGGAAUAAAAUGUUCCACGUGUGGGAUUUUGUAUGUACCAUAUGAAUAAGGAUCGACUAACUCCGUGCCAGCAGCCGCGGUAAUACGGAGGAUCCGAGCGUUAUCCGGAUUUAUUGGGUUUAAAGGGAGCGUAGGUGGAUUGUUAAGUCAGUUGUGAAAGUUUGCGGCGCAACCGUAAAAUUGCAGUUGAAACUGGCAGUCUUGAGUACAGGAGAGGUGGGCGGAAUGCGUGGUGUAGCGGUGAAAUGCUUAGAGAUCACGAAGAACUCCGAUUGCGAAGGCAGUUCACUGGACUGCAACUGACACUGAGGCUCGAAAGUGUGGGUAUCAAACAGGAUUAGAUACCCCUGUAGUC